Molecule: non-coding RNA, 1196 nt
Organism: Prunus mume (Japanese apricot)
Lineage: Eukaryota; Viridiplantae; Streptophyta; Magnoliopsida; Rosales; Rosaceae
Source: RefSeq, a predicted model, not a curated record
AAACUUGUUUGUUCAACCCUUGCCGUUCGGCAAGGGUGCCUUGAGCAAAUUGUACCUCACCUUUUUUGAGCUCGUUCCAAGUCUUGAGCUGAUACCGUCCGUUUUGUUGUAUAACGUGGAUAAAUUUCAAGCCACAUUCUCUGUUGUUGUUGCCGUUCGGCAAGGAGAUUCGGAGGGUGUUUUGCUUCAAUAAGAGAUGUCGAUGCGGAAGCAGAGCAGUUGGUGAUGCCUGAGUAGGUGCCAACACGGAAGCGCCAUGGGUGCCGUUUGGUAUAUUGGAACCCUUCGGAAUCAGCAAUGUCGUUCAUGGUGCGACGAAGAACUAGCAAGAUGAAAGGUCCUGGAGCUCGUGAUUGGGCUAAACGAUGAUGCAUUGUGAGGCAUCAACACUUGUGCUGGCUUUCUCUUCAUCCCAUGUGUGGUUUGCUUCUCCCAUAUUUUCAUCUUUUGAACCGUGUGUCAUAGGUCCCACCUUUUAUUGUAGAAGCUGGAAUGUAUUGGUAGUGAGAGUCUUAAGGCUGCUUUGUGAUUGUUGUGAUUCUUGUCGUCCGAUAAGAACAUGUGUGGUCUCUGAUAGCCACCGAUUUAAAGGUGGGUGUGUUGAGUAUUUAUUGGCAUGGGUGCCGAACGGUAGCUUAUGAAAAAUAAGUAAGGUGGAGGUUUGGAAAUAUCAGUUGGCUUGAAGGAUGAGGUGCCGAACGAUACCGUGAGCCUUUGCAUUGAUGAUGAGGUGCCUCCAGGGUGACUUGAAUAAUUACUCAGUCUGUGGGUGCCGAACGGCAGCUUUGGGUUCCACUAGUAUUUAAGGGGAGCAUGACGCAGGACGGUAGCUAGGUGCCUGCAGAGAUACCUUCUGUUUCAUAUUUGCCAAAUGGCCAGAAGCAAUGUUUUAUUGCCAUCCCACUUCCAAGUGCAUGUGCCUUUCUAGAGCCACGUUCGGAAGCUGGUCAAGUGGCAUGGAGAUGGUGAUCUUUCAAAGCUCUUGGGUGCCUUGAGCAAUAUCCUUUAUAUGGGUGUGCCGUUUGGCUUGGCCAUUGAAAUUGUUCCAGGCUUUCCUAUAUGGCAAAUAGGACAAAAUAGCACUAAAAUGAGAAUGAAUGAAUGCUAGCCCACCGAUUAAGCCACUUGAAUAAUAUAUGCAAUCAUUGAAUUGCAUGCUUACGAAUAUACUAAAAUAUAAGAUAAGGCAAUGUGAU